Long non-coding RNA from Ornithodoros turicata, 407 nucleotides. RefSeq lists it as uncharacterized. The record is from RefSeq and is a predicted model, not a curated record. The transcript has 3 exons. Lineage: Eukaryota; Metazoa; Arthropoda; Arachnida; Ixodida; Argasidae.
GGAAGCGGUGCCAAAGUUCUCUGAGUAUCUCAAACCGCUGCUUGAGGGGCGGGAAAUGACCGACAGGCAGCAUAAGCAUCAGAGCAUACAGCUGAGGCAUGAGAUCAUUCGUCACCUCGACACGAAUAACUUAAUAACAUCAGGAUCUGUUGGAAAGUUGCGUUGGCAAUAUAAUGCAUUGGGUGCUGCAUUAGCUGAAGCAUUUCCAUACAUGGUUUGGGAGAAUGCUGCUCCAGGCACAAAGACAUACAAAAAGAGCAAAGAUAUCUGGUCUGUCUUCAUGCACAGACUGACAACUGCUCGGAAACAGAGGCGCUACAGAAAGAGUCGUUCAGUAAUAGUAACUGAUAAACAGCCAGAAGUACAGCCGAGUACCCUUACUGUUUCAGAAGCAAGUGCAAUGCUAA